AUUCUGCCGCGUGUGUUUCCGGGAUUCUUGAUGUUUCUUCUGAGCUCCAGGGUCAGGCAGUAUGAUUGAUGUUUCUAAGCCAGCAUCCUUGGAACAAAGUAGCUUUUGAGGUAAUAAGGAGUAGUUCAUAAGAACCCACGUGGAAGGUCACACUUCUGAUCUGAGACCUUUCAGCAGAGCCUGAGGGCAGAGUGGAAAAGGCCAGGAAAGAACAUGUCCGGAACUGCCUCCUCACUGAAGACAUUCUUGCUGCUCCUGUACACUUUACCUUUAUAAUUCUCUUCCAUUCUCCAUGAGUAACAAGAAACGAACGGACCUCAGAUAAUAAUAUACAAGUGUGUGAUUUGAAGCUGUGUUCAUUGUGAGGAUUUCCCCAUCACCACCAUCUUUCAGUGACAUUCCUGAGUGGAAUUUUAGUGGACAUGGAAGACACCAAUGUGAGAGAACCAGGCCCAGGAUUCUCCUCUUAUACUCUGUCACAGUGAAUACAUGGAGUAUUCAUUGUUGACUGAGAGAGAAAGAUCUUUAUUGAACUCUCUACAUGAAUUGAAGUAGAGGUAGUCAUAUGACAGAGUGGUGUGGGACAUAGUACUAGAGGCAAGACCACAGCUGGUGGAAUGGUGAUUGGCUGCACAUACUCCUGGUAGAUUGACUUCAUUGAAUUCUUCAGUUCACGUGUCUCGAAUGGUCCCCAACAACUGUGCUCUGCGCGUUUUGCAAUCUCUUGCAGUGCUUCCCUGCGCUUCUGUUCCUUACAGAGACGCCCCGGAACCUUCAGGUCUGUACACCGCUUCGGGAGCGGGUUCAGCCCGAGUGGGACAGGCAGUCUAGCUGAGGAGAUCUGGGCUAGGUUCAGGGUCCCGCGCGGCUCGGGGGCAGUGGGAGCGGGGGCGGGGCGUCCCUGUGAGUCAGAGGGUGGGCACGUGCGCGCGUGUCCAGGCCCCGAGCGGGGUGUGCACCUUGGCCCUGGAAGGGCGCCAGCUUUGCUUCCAGGCUGAGCUGGGUGUGAAUUGGUCCCUACGGCCAGAGGAUGGACCUGCGUGGGAUGAGGAGUCCUCACCUGUAGAGGGAUGCUGUUAAUAUGUCUACCAAGAAGUGUCGAAGACCAGGCUGCAAUGCAGUAAAGCAAGGCAUUUAUUGGGGUAUUAGGAAUUACAAUUCGGGAGACGCAUUGGGCUGGAAGCCAAAUUGUAUUCCAAAGAGAGGUAGGGGAACAGGGGGAAAAUCAGAAAGGAAGCCACGGGUGUUUACGCAAGUUCUGAAAGAAUUAUCCGUUGGUGGAAGCGGGUGACUUAGUACCUGAGUCCAUAGUUCAUUGGUUGUUACUGUUCAGGAGUUGCAACGCUGGCGAAAUUCAGCUGUUUUCCGGAAUUUUUGUGGUCGUUGCAGUUUGGCUCACUUCAAAGGUUCAAGGCAAGUUCCAUUUUUUUUUUUUUUUUCCUGCAGUUUUGUAGGAUGUACUGGCAGCCCUUAGAAUGACUUCCUACCUCCAGUUUAGAGCUCUCAGUCAGAGUAAGACCAUUUUGUAUAGCACAUCCCACUGAUAUGUGCCACGCGGAGUGGUUCUGAGUUUCACAUUUUUGGCAUAUGUAAAAAAUUGGCAGAGUUUAGUAGUUAACCUCAGCUGAUAAGGUAUUUGGAAAAUAGUUUGUUCUUCUCAUUAGCUCUUUCAUUUAGUCCUUACAACAAUCUUUAUGUGACUGUUUUCCGUCUUGACAAACAAGAAAACUGAGGUUCUGAGGGUUCAGGUGAAAUGGUCAAGGUCACAUGUCCAGGGUAGACCACCCUAUCUAAAACCAUCUUGUAUUCCUGAAAUCAUACUAAAGUGGGUGGGGGGCGGCUGAGUCUCACCUUGUAGUCAUGUAUUCUGGGGUUUCUCAGCAUCUUGAAGCCCUUGGGUCAGGCUGCAUGACUGUGUUGCUUGGACUCUUGCACUGUCCAACCUUCAGCAUAGUCAGUGCCUUCAGAGUUUAGACAAGGAAGUUCUCUGAGAUUUGGAACCCUGAGUGAAGCUUCUGAAUAAAAUGGUUUUGUCCUUUAAGCUCAGGUUUCAGCUCCUCGGAAGGAAGCAGUUCUUGUGAAGUAAGAAGAAGGGGCCUAGGAACAGGAAUCCCACCUUGAAGAUUGCUUCUCUAACAUGAACGUUGUCAGUCCAACUUCAGAGCAAAGGCAGGAAACUGCCAGAAAGGGCAGAGCCUGAUGGUUUGCACAGCCUGAAGUAAUUCUUCCUCCUGCUUAGAAUGAGUGAUUCUCUGUAAAUGUCAUCACAUCUGGAGGGUCUCCCCUCUAUGGUGAAAGGUUUGGACCAUGUUUCAGAAAAGAUAGGUGACUGGACUGAGUGGUGGCAAGGGGUAUGCUGGUGGAAAUAUUAAUCUUGGAGGGUUGGUGUGGGCAUGGUCUGCAGGCAGAGUUCACUGGGCAUAGCUGGAGGAGUUCUAGCUCUAGUCUUUAACCAACAUGUCCCACAUUCAAUCUCCAUGGUCUUUGUCCAGGUUCUGAGCUGCUUUCAUACCAUGUCCAUUGUGAUGUCCUCUAGAGAUGUGGUGUUGCCUUAUCUACCCUGAUCCUAUAGAGGUAGAGAAUAGGGGUGUCUGUGUCUGCAUGAUUACAAAGCUGAGAAACCGUGACUCUUGGAUGUAUAGGUAACCUGUCCAGACUCAUCCAGUUUGUAAAUGGCAGAGCAGGAAUAUAAAACACCCGUCCAUCUUAUAACAGAUAAGUCACCUGCCAGUUUCUGUUGCAACUGAGUUAGAAGCAAACAAUCUUAAAACAGAUCUUUCUCCAAAGCACUCCCAUCAUCUUCUGCAGCAUGAUUUCUUUAAGGGUUAGUAACUCAGUAGGAAUGUAAGUAAACAAAUAUCCUGAGUAUUUCACCUAUGGGAGUGAAUAUGGCAGGUAACAAUUUGUCUUCUGAUAUAAUAUUAUUUGUUGAAUUAGUCCUGGAUUAGUUCUGAAAGAAAAAUGAAAUUGACCGUUAGGAAGUGAACCCAGUGAAAAGUUGCAUAGCCAACUUCUAUGAGAUCUUGUCAGAUUUACACAUGUGAAUUCUCACUCAGCAUAGCUCUUGCUGUCUCCUCAAGAAACAAAGAAACUUUUUCCCAUAGAGGAGUGUUUAACCAGUUGGUGGGCAGCAGUUUUUAGGAAGCCUCAAAGGUCCAUAGCAGGCCAGAUUUCACAUGACCACCCCUGUGUUUUUCUCCUGUAACUGUACAUUCAGCUUCCCCUGCACUUUCCCAAGAG
Molecule: non-coding RNA, 3240 nt
Organism: Chlorocebus sabaeus (green monkey)
Lineage: Eukaryota; Metazoa; Chordata; Mammalia; Primates; Cercopithecidae
Source: RefSeq, a predicted model, not a curated record